Molecule: non-coding RNA, 119 nt
Filed under: Myotis lucifugus (little brown bat)
Lineage: Eukaryota; Metazoa; Chordata; Mammalia; Chiroptera; Vespertilionidae
Description: Eukaryotic large subunit ribosomal RNA
Rfam family: Eukaryotic large subunit ribosomal RNA
Source: Rfam by way of RNAcentral
GAUUGGAGAUUCAAAUCAAAGUGAAGAAAUUCAAUGAAGCGCGGGUAAACGGCGGGAGUAACUGUGACUCUCUUAAGGUAGCCAAAUGCCUCGUCAUCUAACUAGUGACGCGCAUGAAU